UCUGGUUGAUCCUGCCAGAUCCGACUGCUAUCCGGGUAAGACUAAGCCAUGCGAGUUGAAUGGGAAACCCUGUUUCACAUGGCAUACUGCUCAGUAACAAGUGAUCAACUUACCCUUCAGUGGUGAAUAACCUCGGGAAACUGAGGAUAAUACACCAUAGUUAGAAAAGCCUGGAAGGGUUUUCUAUCAAAAGAUCUUUUCAAAUGGGAGAAGUAUCGCUGAAGGAUAGGAUCGCUCCUGAUUAUGGUUGUUGGUGAGGUAGAGGCUCACCAAGCCUAUGAUUAGUAAGGGCCGUGAGAGCGGGAGCCCUGAGAUGGGUACUGAGACAAUGACCCAGGCCUUACGAGGCGCAGCAGGCGCGAAACCUUGUCAAUGCACGAAAGUGUGAACAGGUUACCCGGAGUGCUAGGAGAACAACUCCUGGCUGUUAUAGGGUGUUAACUAACCCUAGAAGAAAGGAGAGGGCAAGGCUGGUGCCAGCCGCCGCGGUAAAACCAGCUCUUCAAGUGAUCGGGAUUAUUAUUGGGCUUAAAGUGUUCGUAGCCGGUUUAGUAAGUUCCUGGUUAAAUCUGACAGCUUAACUGUCAGCCUGCUAGGAAUACUGCUUUACUAGGGGGCGGGAAAGGUUCGAGGUACUCCAGGGGUAGCGGUGAAAUGUGAUAAUCCUUGGGGGACCACCAGUGGCGAAGGCGUCGAACUGGAACGCGCCCGACGGUGAGGGACGAAAGCCAGGGGAGCGAACGGGAUUAGAUACCCCGGUAGUCCUGGCUGUAAACGAUGCGCGCUAGGUGUUGGUAGGGCUAUGAGCUGUAUCAGUGCCGUAGGGAAACUGUUAAGCGCGCCGCCUGGGAUGUACGCACGCAAGUGUGAAACUUAAAGGAAUUGGCGGGGGAGCACCACAAGGGGUGAAGCCUGCGGUUCAAUUGGACCCAACGCCGGGAAACUUACCGGGGGCGACAGCAGAAUGAAGGUCAGGCUGACGACCUUACCAGACAAGCUGAGCGGAGGUGCAUGGCCGUCGACAGUUCGUGCCGUGAGGUAUCCUGUUAAGUCAGGCAACGAACGAGACCCAAACACUUAGUUGCUAGAAAGAGCCUUAGGGUUCGUUGGGAACGCUAAGUGGACUGCCAUCAUACAGAUGGAGGAAGGAGUGGGCCACGGCAGGUCAGUAUGCCCCUAAUCCCCCGGGCCACACGCGGGCUGCAAUGGUAUGGACAAUGGGCUGCGACUCCGAAAGGAGGAGCCAAUCCCUAAACCAUAUCUCAGUUGGGAUUGUCGGCUGUAACCCGCCGACAUGAACGUGGAAUCCCUAGUAAUCGUGUGUCAUCAUCGCACGGUGAAUACGUCUCUGCUCCUUGCACACACCGCCCGUCGCUCCACCCGAGUAUUGUAUAAUUGAAAAAUGGUCCUCUGGGUCGUUUUGAAAUUGUAUAAAGCAAGGGGGGAGAAGUCGUAACAAGGUA
This 1463-nucleotide ribosomal RNA is filed under the name metagenome. Its description in RNAcentral is "bacterial SSU rRNA". It matches the Rfam family "Archaeal small subunit ribosomal RNA". The record is from RNAcentral.